AUCACCUGAGGUCGGGAGUUCGAGACCAGCCUGACCAACGUGGAGAAGCCCCUUCUCUACUAAAAAUACAAAAUUAGCCCGGUAUAGUGGUGCAUUCCUGUAAUCCCAGCUACUCCGGAGGUUGAGGCAGGAGAAUCGCUUGAACCCGGGAGGCAGAGGUUGUGGUGAGCCAAGAUCGCAUCAUUGCACUCCUACAGCAAAACUCCGUCUCAAAAAAAAAAAAAAAUCAAAAUGUAGAGCUGUAAAUCUUAGGCCAUCACCUCCUGAUUCUAGGGCUAUAAACCUGUUGUUUUCAAAGGCCCUGCUCACACAGGAAUUCAUGGCAGAAUGGAGCUGGGAGGCAGAUGGAGCGAUGGAGAUCAUAUGCUCAGGAUCCCUCUCCCCCUCUCAUGACAAAGGCUUUGCCCCUGCUUCUGGCUGGAGGGACCUGCCCUCUCCUUGCUUGGGACAGUUGUUAACCAACACAUCUUAAUGACAGAGGAGAGAAGAAUCAAGACCUGGGGAUGGAGCUGGGAGAGGCCAGCCUCGAACAAAGAAUAUCUUGAAAGCCUCUUUUUAUCAUUAAAGUGUGUAUGAAUGUUACCUUUUACC
This 591-nucleotide long non-coding RNA is filed under the name Homo sapiens (human). Its description in RNAcentral is "non-protein coding lnc-TMEM238L-2:1". The record is from RNAcentral. Lineage: Eukaryota; Metazoa; Chordata; Mammalia; Primates; Hominidae.